This 451-nucleotide ribosomal RNA is filed under the name uncultured bacterium. Its description in RNAcentral is "partial 16S ribosomal RNA". It matches the Rfam family "Bacterial small subunit ribosomal RNA", at positions 354 to 796 of the family's 1533-position model. The record is from RNAcentral.
GUGGGGAAUAUUGGACAAUGGGGGGAACCCUGAUCCAGCCAUGCCGCGUGUGUGAAGAAGGCCUUUUGGUUGUAAAGCACUUUAAGCGAGGAGGAGGCUACCGAGAUUAAUACUCUUGGAUAGUGGACGUUACUCGCAGAAUAAGCACCGGCUAACUCUGUGCCAGCAGCCGCGGUAAUACAGAGGGUGCAAGCGUUAAUCGGAUUUACUGGGCGUAAAGCGCGCGUAGGUGGCCAAUUAAGUACAAUGUGAAAUCCCCGAGCUUAACUUGGGAAUUGCAUUCGAUACUGGUUGGCUAGAGUAUGGGAGAGGAUGGUAGAAUUCCAGGUGUAGCGGUGAAAUGCGUAGAGAUCUGGAGGAAUACCGAUGGCGAAGGCAGCCAUCUGGCCUAAUACUGACACUGAGGUGCGAAAGCAUGGGGAGCAAACAGGAUUAGAAACCCUGGUAGUCC